Molecule: unclassified non-coding RNA, 5156 nt
Filed under: Hevea brasiliensis (rubber tree)
Lineage: Eukaryota; Viridiplantae; Streptophyta; Magnoliopsida; Malpighiales; Euphorbiaceae
Source: RNAcentral
GGGGAGGAGGACGGCGACUCAGUAGUGUGUGGUGGAGACUGGAGAGCAAUGAAAAAACACAAACUCUCAAACAUCAAGGGACGGGGCCCUCUCGCCAUCAAUGCCUUUGUUUGAGCAUCACCAACCUUCUCAAGCCGAGUCAACGGCGCCUCUCUCAUGUCUGCGAUUGUCAAUUUCUCCACCAACAACAUUUCUCUACUACAGUCUUUGCAUUUAUUAGUUUAGCUACUGUAUCUGCUCUGCUGUUACUCUACAAAUAUGAAAUUUCAGUGCUCUUCUGCACAGCUAGAGCAGAAUAGGCCACUGUCAAGAAGAUUUUGCAGAUCUCUCUCCGUGUCUUUGAAUUUCUAAAGGAGCAAAUGGCAGAUGAGGGAGCCGCUCAAGUCACUGCGCCAGUUCGUCGUGUUCUUCUCACUUCCGCCGGGGCUAGUCAUUCCGUUGCUCUCCUCUGUAAGCCGUAGUUUAUUUUAUUUUCAUCAACUUCAUUAUAGCACCGCAUUUUAAUUUUGAUUGAUUUGGGGACAUUUAUGCAUUUUGCUUUGCAUAAUACCAUGCUGCUUGGUUCUUGCUUUACAUGUUCUUCCAAAGAAUUUGUUGUUAAGAGUAAAUUUAACGCAUUUGUUUGGAUUAAAAAACUAUAAAACUGUAGUUUUGUGGUUUGUAGGAUACCAAAUCAAAACCAUUAAUUAGUUUACAUAUCUGUAUAUUUUUUUUGGCUUCAAUGGAUGGGUGGAGAACUGAUCAUCGGGCUAUUAGUAUGUGUUGUAGAUGCAAGUAACUUGAGGCCUAGGAGAAAAACAUAUUUUUAGGCUAUAAGACAUCCAAGUUAUGUAUAUUAUACAAUGUUAAUUAUUAUUAUUUUUUAUUUAUAGUAUCUUUUGCUGCCCUUUUAACCUUGUGGAUAAUUAUACUCUUGGUGGGUUGUAAAAUGAUACACACUGAAGGGGCUGAACUUAAGUUUGACCUAUUAGAUGUCUAUUCAAGCUUAUAUUUGUUAAAUGAGCAAAUCAAACUCAAAACUAUUUUAUGAACGUUCUUGAUUAUAUCUAAGCUCACCUUGAAAGGUUGCACCUAGCUUGUAAAAUUUUAGGAUUAUUUUACCGAAAGUACUAGUAAAUUGAUCGUAAAAUAAACUUGAAUUAAGUAAAUGGUAUGUAUUAUUGGGAUUGUUAUUGAUAUAUCAAAACUAUAUUACAAUUGAUUGCUUCUAUUUCAUUAGGUUUGUGAACAAGCUCUUGUGUUUUUUAAAAAGUUAAAAAGCCAAUCUUGAACAAUUUCUGUGCUAGGUGUUAAGUUCAACUUUGUCUCAAACUUGAAUUGUAUUUAAUUUAAAUUAAAUAAACCAAACUUUAGCAUUGUUAUACUUUCCUUGGUUUGGUUUGAAUGUAGCCCUACUUGUAGUUUGGCCUUGGGCCCAACUGUUGAGUUUGAGCUUGAUAAAAAGCCCAAACGAAGUGAGAAACCCUCUGAAUUGUAAUAUUUUGGUUUGGUUUGUAAACCGGAAUAACUUUGGAUAGGUUUGAACAAAUUGUCACAUUCAAUUUGAUUUGUUCUUCAAAUUCUCUAUAAGGAACCAAACCUAUUAUUUUCAUCUUCAUAAAUGAUUUAUUUGCUAGUAACUUUUUCCAUGAGAAUCAUAUAUUCUUCUUCUUUUCAAAAUUUUCUAUACUCAUGACUUUCUUCAGUUUUAUUAUCAUUAAAUUGUUUAAAGUUGCAUCAGUCAGUCAAAAUUCAGGUUCUUUAUGAUUUACAGCUGGAAACAUUGUUUGCUCUUGGGGACGAGGAGAAGAUGGGCAGUUAGGCCAUGGUGAUGCUGAGGAUCGACUUUCUCCGACACAAUUGAGUACAUUGGAUGGUCUUGAAAUUGUAUCUGAUACUUGUGGUGCUGAUCAUACGAUUGCAUAUUCUGAGUCACAUGCAAAUGUUUAUAGUUGGGGAUGGUUUGUUCUUAAUCUUUUAUAUAUUCUUUUCAGUUUUUAAUCUCAGUUAAUAAUUUAGGAACAAACUUUUCAUUGACUUCAGUGCAUAGUUUCUAAUGUAGUUUCGAAGUGGGCCUAGACAGUGUAAUUAUAUAUUUAAAAGCUAAUUGACUCAAUCCAAAGAAAUUGAUUGGUUAUAUGUCUAUUGGAUUAAAAUGUCAAUAAACUUUCAUAAUAUCAACAUAUGUUCACAACUUUAGUUUGUCUUAAACUCAAGCUGGUUGUAAUAUUUUCAUAAGAUGUGUGUGCUUUGCAAAAUAAUUUUCUUUUUGAAUUUAGGGUAUUUGGUGACUUGGUUCUUGGUGACCUUUCACAUGUCCAAGUUUACUUCAACACAUUUUCUUUUAGGAUGUGGAACAUUCAUUUGCAUGUGAUGAUAUAAUUUUAAAAAGGCAGCCUAAAUAGCAUACAUGUAGGUUAACGGAUCAAAAUUUAGAAGUAAUUUCAUAUAAUAUGAACUGAGUGUGUUGGAUGUGUGUAUUUCACUAAACCUUAAAUAUUAUAUUAAAAGUAAUUCUUAUUUCUUUUAUGAAAAAUGUCAUUUGAAACAAGGCAUUUAACUUCCAAGAGGAUACCAUCAAUCAUUUAGAUAAUAACAAUUGCCUUUACUGUGGUAUCUUAUCUUGAAAAUAAAAUUUUAUUUGGUGGGUGUGUUGUCUUCAUCAAUAUGUAUUGGGAAUGAACAUUGUUGAUGAAUUUAUUGGUGGAUGGGCUGUAUGGAUAUAUUGGGUCCCUGAGGAGAAUUGUUGACUUAAGUUGGUCUAGUUAGACAUAUUUGUAUCAUCCAAUAUUAUAUGGUGUUUCCUACAUUGCCCUUUUAAGGGCAGGAUUAUCUUAGCUGUAUAUUUUUGGCUGUUGAUACUUGUAUGUAAUCAUAUUUGCCCAUACAUGAUAGUUAUUAAUUUAUUCACCUCUAUUUUCAUUCAAAUAUAAAGUUUAGUUCAUAUCACAGGCUUUUUCUAAUUAUUGUUUACUUUUUUUUAAUCAAUAUUAGUCAAAUAAUUUUUUUAAUAGUAGACAACUUUUGGGAUUCUCUCAAGCUUAUUUAUUUUUGUCACCUGAAUUUGUUGUAAGAGGAAACCAGGGGCACAAACAUUGUAGUGAUUGGUUUAUCAUGCAGUUUUUAUACUGACAUAGGACAACUAAAAGUUUUUCUUCUUUUUUUAUAAGAACAAUAAAUCAAAUAUGGAUAUUUUAAUGAAAUUUCUUUUGAAAUGGAAAGACAUCAACACCUUGGUAAUUACUUGCCUUUAUAGAAUCCCGAAGAAACCAUUCACUCCUAAUCCUUAUGAGAUUGGAAAUCCUAAACAGAAAAAAUUAAAAUUUACUACUUUGACUAGGAUAAUCUAUAUAUUUAGGGUAUGUUUGGUAUCAUUGUAAGUUUUCUCUUCCCUUUUCUAUUUCUUCAACUCCAACUUCUGCUCAUCAUACUUUUUCAAUUAAGCUAAACACCAAAAAUUUCUUAGCAUGGAAAAUGCAAUUUAUUCCUUUAUUGAAUUAUCAAAAACUCCAUGGAUUUAUCGAUGGCACCUCUCCUCGUCCUCCUAAAACCAUUCCUGGCACCUCAACUGAUGCACCUGCUCCUAAUCCUGAGUAUGAAACUUGGUUCUCCAAAGAUCAAAUGUUAUUAUCAUGGUUACUCUCUUUACUAACUGAAGAAAUCUUUCCCUAUGUAAUUGGUCUUACUUCUUCAUAUAAUGUGUGGCAAGCAUUGGCUAAAGCCUUUGGCUCAGUUUCUCAAAAUAGGCAAUUGCAGAUUCACAUUGAACUUUGAACUGCAAGAGCUCAAGAAAAAUGACCUCUUUGUUGCUGAUUAUCUCCAUUGUGCAAAAACACUAGCUGAUGAAUUAGAAGCAGCUGGUCGUCCUUUUUCUGCAGCAGAAUUUAAUGCGAUUAUAUAUCGCAACAUUGGGGCUGAAUAUCACCCAAUUAUCACAGCUUUGAAUCUACGCAGUGAGCCAGUAUCCUUCUAUGAACUUUACGGACAACUGGUGGCACAUGAGAUUUUGAUCAAGAGCUCUCAAGAACCUCCUAUUGCUAACAUGGUCAUUCGUCCGUCUGGUAAUUCACCAUUGCUUCCUACUUCUAUGCCUUUCCUCUCAAAAUGGUGCACCUCGACCUCACAAUUUCAACAAUGGUGGCUUUCUCCUGCGAGGUUCUUGCAAAAUAUGUGGCCUCAAAAGUCAUAUAGCUAAUCGAUGUCGACAUCGAUAUGCACCAUCAUCCUAUGGUCCACGUUCUUCAAAUUAUCCAUAAGCCAAUGCUCACAAUUUUCAUGGACCAGCUCAUGUUUCUACAAUUUCUCCGAUGGCCACUAAUGAUACACCAACUCCAUGGUUUCCGGAUAUUGGUGUGAAUUUUCACAUCACCCCAAACCUCUCUAGUUUGAGUAUUGCCAAUGAAUAUAAGGGGACAGACCAACUUCAUGUAGGUAAUGGACAAGGUAUUCCGAUUACACACACUGGUGUUGCAUCACUCCAUUAUCCUUCUGCCUCUUUUAAAUUGAAUAAUGUUUUAUGUGUUCCUAAUAUUAUGAAAAACCUUCUUUCUGUUCAAAAAUUUACUUCUGAAAACAACUGUUUCUUUAAAUUUUGGCCCAAAUAUUUUCUUAUUAAGGACCAGGUUACCAAGAAGGUUCUUCUUCAGGGUCCAAGUGAGAAUGGUGUGUACUUUUUAAAUCCACCAAUAAAGCAAACCUCUGCAGUGGAACGGCUAAGCAUGGAUGAAUAGGAUUCUCGUCUUGGUCAUCCACAGUCUAGAACAGUGUCUCAUGUCGUCAAUAAAUUCUAAUUGUCUGUUUCAAGUUCAUCAAUGUCUCCAUGUUCUUCGUGUCUAUUAGGAAAAUUAGCCAAAUUAUCUUUAGCUUCUGUUCAACAUGAAAGCAUGGCUCCAUUUGAAAUAAUACAUACGGAUGUAUGGGGUCUUGCUCCUAUGAUAUCUUCUUUGGGUCAACGUUAUUUUCUUUUAUUUGUAGAUAAUUUUACCCGUUAUACAUGGGUAUAUUUCAUGCGUAAUAAAAAUGAAGUUUAUGACAUUUUUAUAAAUUUUCAGAGUCUGAUUGAACGUCAAUUCCAUUCCAAAAUAAAAUCCUUUCAUUCAGAUUGGGGUGGUGAAUUUCAGAAAUUAAAUAAUUAUUUCUAAUUUUGUGGGAUUAUACACCAAAUUUUUUGUCCUCAU